UUUGGCUUGGGCACGUUUGGGUGGAUGUUUAUCCAAGUUGGAAACUUUUUUCCUUAAUAACAGAGAAGAAUAUUGUUACAUCCUAAUAUAUACUUCUCAAAAAUCUUCAUAGAUCUCUCUUUCGUCAUUCCGUGUUAACUGUUAGUACAUAAAACUUUUGCAAAUUAUUUUUGGUGGCAACUGAAGUUUGAGGGACUAGGGUUGAAUAUCAUGCCGUUUAAUCUUCUCCAUUAACAUAGCUAGGGUUGCCGCACCACACACAGAGCGUGCAUUACGUUCCCACACAGCAACGCCUCCACACAUUGCCCCUUCACAUCACAUCUCGUCCUCCACGCAGCCUUCCUCCCUUAAAACCCACCAGUCUUAACCAUUAAAUCUCAUGGCCUACACACAUGCAGUGACUACGGCCACCACGUUCCUCUGUCACGGCCUCUACCGAUCGAUCGAAAUCCUCUGUUUUGGACCCUCAAAACAGAGCACUCCAUAGCAGUGCAAACCGAGAGCCACGGCCCACAGAACAACUCCCCACCAUCAAAAAACCCCGUACGUAAGACUCUCUUAACUCGUUUUCUUCCUCUCUAGUACUAUUUAAUCUGAUAUCUAUGUAUUUAGUCCACGAUCGGUGAUGUUAUUCGAUUUAAUCUGAUUUAAUCUGAUAUCUAUGUAUUUUGUCCACGAUCGGUGAUGUUAUUCGAUUUAAUCUGAUUUAAUCUGAUAUCUAUCUAUUUCGCCAACGAUCGGUGAUGUUUAGGUGGCUUUUCGUAUUCACAGUUCACAGUUCACUCAUUGGAAACGUAUUCAUACAAUGAUAAUUGAUAUAAAAAAUGGUAUUAUAUAGAAGUGUUACUGGAGAGAAGUAGUAGCGGUGGGAGCUCAAAAAUGGAGAACAAUUAGGUUUGAAUAGAGAAGUGAAGAAGAGAGGGGGUCUAUAUAGUUGUUGUGGGCAGAGAAAGAGAGGGAAAAAUGGCGAGAAACAGGAGGAAAGAAGAAGGUGGCCUUUCCAUUACAGCUUGAAUCCCAAACACGGCAUUCCCCCUCCAGCUCAUGUUUUUGGUCUUAGAGAGAGAGAGAGAGAGAGAGACGUCCAGAAAGAGGGGGGAGAGACAGAGAGCACGUUUCACGAGGGUUGGAGAAAGAGUAUGGUAGAGUAGGCUCCGAGUCUCUCCGUGUGAGUGUGUAAUUGGUGUGAUCAUUCACGAAAGAUGUGCACUUUUGUUAUAACUCAUCACUUCGAACCAUAAAGCCAAUUGAAAAUGAAAAAUGACCCUUAACUUACGAGAAAAGGAAACACUUCAAGAAUUUUUGACAUUUUUUUUUUUAAGGUUUUCAAGUGCCCAACACCACCUCUGAUUUGCUCUAUCUUCAUACAUAGUACUGUGUCAAUAUGCCAUUCACUCUUUUAAUCAAAACACUUUCACUCUUCUUUUUGCCAAACCCACUUUAACUUGUUCACUUUGGGUUGCCAUCUCAAUUCUCACACCAUACUCGAUUCGGGUCGUCGAAUCCAACCGAGUUUAUGCUCAUAGUUUUGGAGCUAAUUAAGAAAUAGGAACCCCUUUUAUUUGCAGUAUGUUUGACAUCCAAAUAAUCUGCUAGUGAUUAGCAGAUGGGGGUUGGGACAUUCUGUAUUCAAUGAGGUCCCCAACUUCCCACCCACCUUAGACUAAAAUGGCCCAUGAUUCAAACUAAAGUGAGUCGGUGGAAUUCUUCAUUUCCUUACGACUCUAUAUCUGUUUUGCAGCAUUUCAAUGAUUGUUUUUGUUUCAUUAAAAAAAGGUUUAUUAAUUUUGUUAAUGGUUAUUCUUGUUUUGUUAAUUUUGUUUUUUAAUCUUUAAUAAUUUUACUAAUUUGUAGUACUCUUUGGCUUUCCAGCUUUUUGCACCCUUUUAAAAUAUAAUUUAUGGUUAAAAAACCCUAUUAUUAUUCUAGACAAAUUUAGAUUUUAGAUAAUAUAUCAAUUAUAUCAUCAUGAGAUAAAAUAAAAAUAUCAAUUAUUCGAGACAAAUUUAGAUUUUACAUAAUAUUUAUGAUCUUGCAUUCUCAUUCAGUUCUCAUUCAAUAUUAUUUUUCAUACUAUAUUUUCAGUUAUUGAUGAUCUUGCAUUCUCAUUUAGUUCUAUUUUCAUAUUUCAAAUAUAAUUAAGUUAUGGAUAAAAGUUGGAUAAAGAAACCCCAACAUACAAAAGAGUAUGUCGAUGGUGUGAAAGAGUUUUCGAAGUUUGCAUGUGAGAAUUGUCCUACAGAUUCGUCGAUUUGUUGCCCAUGUAGAAAAUAUGGAUUACGUAUUAUGUUCAUGCCCAACAUAGUAUAUGAUCAUUUGAUUAGUUA
Molecule: long non-coding RNA, 2327 nt
Organism: Juglans microcarpa x Juglans regia
Lineage: Eukaryota; Viridiplantae; Streptophyta; Magnoliopsida; Fagales; Juglandaceae
Exons: 2
Source: RefSeq, a predicted model, not a curated record